Molecule: ribosomal RNA, 454 nt
Filed under: uncultured bacterium
Lineage: Bacteria
Description: bacterial SSU rRNA
Rfam family: Bacterial small subunit ribosomal RNA
Source: RNAcentral
AGAGUUUGAUCAUGGCUCAGAGCGAACGCUGGCGGCAGGCCUAAAACAUGCAAGUCGAACGGAUCCUUCGGGAUUAGUGGCGGACGGGUGAGUAACACGUGGGAACGUGCCUUUUGGUUCGGAACAACUCAGGGAAACUUGAGCUAAUACCGAAUGUGCCCUUCGGGGGAAAGAUUUAUCGCCAUUAGAGCGGCCCGCGUCUGAUUAGCUUGUUGGUGAGGUAAAAGGCUCACCAAGGCGACGAUCAGUAGCUGGUCUGAGAGGAUGAUCAGCCACACUGGGACUGAGACACGGCCCAGACUCCUACGGGAGGCAGCAGUUAGGAAUCUUGCGCAAUGGGGGAAACCCUGACGCAGCCAUGCCGCGUGAAUGAUUAAGGUCUUAGGAUUGUAAAAUUCUUUCAGCGGGGACGAUAAUGACGGUACCCGCAGAAGAAGCCCCGGCUAACUUCGUG